This is a long non-coding RNA of Nothoprocta perdicaria, 702 nucleotides long. RefSeq lists it as uncharacterized. Lineage: Eukaryota; Metazoa; Chordata; Aves; Tinamiformes; Tinamidae. The transcript is spliced from 5 exons. The record is from RefSeq and is a predicted model, not a curated record.
AGUCUUGGGAGAGGACAAGACCUGCAUUUCAUUGCCCUAGGAAGAAGGGCAGCUCUUGGCAACUCAACUCAGAGAAAGGGGAUGGGUGAGUAGUACUGCAGCCUGUGACCCUGCCAAGAAAUGCGUGCCCAUACCUCAGCCUACCUUGUCUUCUGAAACUGCAGAGUGUUUGGCAUCCAGUUUACAAAAUCAACAGAAAUUCUGUGAACACUAAGUAUAUUUCUGGUGUUGGAAACUGGAAAGAGUUAAAGAUAUUCAAAUGCUCUGUGGAACUGUAGGUGAUCAAUAUGAAAACUGCUGCACAACAGUCAGCUAGUGAAAAACUAAUAAAAGGCAAUCAAUGCCACCAAAGAUAACUGUCAUUCACCAGAAAUACAGAAACUUUCACUUUGGAGAGAAAAAUCCUUUCAGGCUCCUGGGACACGUCUUGCUACAGGCAGCUUCAUGAUGGAAGAAGCCUGGAGUAUAUGCCAUCCCCUUGAGAAACCCUACUGCUUCCUGGAAGGAAAACUGGCUGCAAGUUUACAGUGUGCUCCGAUAGGGUCCCAGGAGUAAAGGCUGACUGCAAGUGAACUUCAGGCUGUACUAAUCCAUCUGCUCGUUUUCUUGACUUCAAUGUAGUGGUUGCUGUCAAAAACAUUUUUUUUAGAAAGAUACGCCAGUCUUUCCAGUUGGAAGGUGCGUAUGUGUGUAUAUCUCUCU